AACGAACGCUGGCGGCAUGCCUAACACAUGCAAGUCGAACGAGACCUUCGGGUCUACUGGCGCACGGGUGCGUAACGCGUGGGAACCUGGCCUUAGGUUCGGAAUAACUCUCCGAAAGGGGUGCUAAUACCGGAUAAUGUCUUCGGACCAAAGAUUUAUCGCCCUUGGAUGGGCCCGCGUUGGAUUAGCUAGUUGGCAGGGUAACAGCCUACCAAGGCGACGAUCGAUAGCUGGUCGGAGAGGAUGAUCAGCCACACUGGGACUGAGACACGGUCCAGACACCUACGGGAGGCAGCAGUGGGGAAUAUUGGCCAAUGGGCGAAAGCCUGAUCCAGCCAUACCGCGUGGGUGAAGAAGGCCUUCGGGUUGUAAAGCCCUUUUGUUGGGAAAGAAAAGCAGCAGGUUAAUACCCCGCUGUACUGACGGUACCCAAAGAAUAAGCACCGGCUAACUUCGUG
Molecule: ribosomal RNA, 458 nt
Filed under: uncultured bacterium
Lineage: Bacteria
Description: partial 16S ribosomal RNA
Rfam family: Bacterial small subunit ribosomal RNA
Source: RNAcentral